Molecule: ribosomal RNA, 520 nt
Filed under: uncultured Glomeraceae
Lineage: Eukaryota; Fungi; Glomeromycota; Glomeromycetes; Glomerales; Glomeraceae
Description: SSU rRNA
Rfam family: Eukaryotic small subunit ribosomal RNA
Source: RNAcentral
AGCAGCCGCGGUAAUUCCAGCUCCAAUAGCGUAUAUUAAAGUUGCUGCAGUUAAAAAGCUCGUAGUUGAAUUUCGGGAUCAAUAUGUUGGUCGUGCCUCGGUACGUACUAGCUUAUUGGUUUCUCCCUUCUGACGAACCAUGAUGUCAUUUAUUUGGUGUUAUGGGGAAUCAGGACUGUUACUUUGAAAAAAUUAGAGUGUUUAAAGCAGGCUCACGCUUGAAUACAUUAGCAUGGAAUAAUGAAAUAGGACGUUUGAUUCUAUUUUGUUGGUUUCUAGGAUCGACGUAAUGAUUAAUAGGGAUAGUUGGGGGCAUUAGUAUUCAAUUGUCAGAGGUGAAAUUCUUGGAUUUAUUGAAAACUAACUACUGCGAAAGCAUUUGCCAAGGAUGUUUUCAUUAAUCAAGAACGAAAGUUAGGGGAUCGAAGACGAUCAGAUACCGUCGUAGUCUUAACCAUAAACUAUGCCGACUAGGGAUCGGAUGAUGUUAAUUUUUUAAUGACUCAUUCGGCGCCUUACG